UGUAUGUUUGAAGUAAGAAGUAAAGCAUAAAGUAUAUGAUUUUGUGUGUGUGUGUGUGUUUUUAUCUUGCUGUACCUGUAGGGAAUGUUUAAUUCAGCCUUGGAAGUGGCCAAAUUUGAAGGUGCUGUGAUUCGAACUGUCAGUGGGAUAAGGGGGCAGAUCAAGAAAGCACUCUGAGCUCCAGAAGGAGCUUUCCGGGCCAGCUUUGAGGAUAAGCUGCUGAUGAGCGAUAUUGUCUUCAUGCAAACUUGGUAUCCUGUUUCCAUCCCAGCCUUCUAUAACCCAGUAACAUCUUUGUUGAAACCAGUGGGUGAGAAAGACACCUGGUCAGGAACGCGGACCACGGGCCAACUCAGGCUUGCCCAUGGUGUCAGACUAAAGGCAAACAAGGACUCUCUGUAUAAGGUUCCCUCUCCCAGCCUGUGCUGACUCAGCCAUCUUCCCAUUCUGCAUCUUCUGGAGCAUCAGUCAGACUCACCUGCAUGCUGAGCAGUGGCUUCAGUGUUGGGGACUUCUGGAUAAGGUGGUACCAACAAAAGCCAGGGAACCCUCCCCGGUAUCUCCUGUACUACCACUCAGACUCCAAUAAGGGCCAAGGCUCUGGAGUUCCCAGCCGCUUCUCUGGAUCCAACGAUGCAUCAGCCAAUGCAGGGAUUCUGCGUAUCUCUGGGCUCCAGCCUGAGGAUGAGGCUGACUAUUACUGUGGUACAUGGCACAGCAACUCUAAGACUCACACAGUGCUCCAGACCCAUGAGGAAGACAUGCUGAAAACACUCAUUAGUGAUU
This 786-nucleotide long non-coding RNA is filed under the name Homo sapiens (human). RNAcentral describes it as "non-protein coding lnc-VPREB1-7:10". The record is from RNAcentral. Lineage: Eukaryota; Metazoa; Chordata; Mammalia; Primates; Hominidae.